GUGCUCGCUUCGGCAGCACAUAUACUAAAAUUGGAACGAUACAGAGAAGAUUUGCAUGGCCCCUGGGCAAGGAUGAUAGCAAAUUCGUGAAGUGUUCCAUAUUUUU
Molecule: small nuclear RNA, 106 nt
Filed under: Dasypus novemcinctus (nine-banded armadillo)
Lineage: Eukaryota; Metazoa; Chordata; Mammalia; Cingulata; Dasypodidae
Source: RNAcentral